RNAcentral lists this ribosomal RNA (450 nucleotides) under uncultured bacterium. RNAcentral describes it as "bacterial SSU rRNA". It matches the Rfam family "Bacterial small subunit ribosomal RNA", at positions 331 to 795 of the family's 1533-position model. The record is from RNAcentral.
CCAGACUCCUACGGGAGGCAGCAGUGGGGGAUAUUGGACAAUGGGGGGAACCCUGAUCCAGCGACGCCGCGUGAGUGAAGAAGUAUCUCGGCAUGUAAAGCUCUAUCAGCAGGGAAGAAAGAAAUGACGGUACCUGAGUAAGAAGCCCCGGCUAACUACGUGCCAGCAGCCGCGGUAAUACGUAGGGGGCAAGCGUUAUCCGGAAUUACUGGGUGUAAAGGGAGCGUAGACGGUGAAGUAAGUCUGGAGUGAAAGGCGGGGGCCCAACCCCCGGACUGCUCUGGAAACUAUUUGACUGGAGUGCAGGAGAGGUAAGCGGAAUUCCUAGUGUAGCGGUGAAAUGCGUAGAUAUUAGGAGGAACACCAGUGGCGAAGGCGGCUUACUGGACUGUAACUGACGUUGAGGCUCGAAAGCGUGGGGAGCAAACAGGAUUAGAUACCCUCGUAACC